Non-coding RNA from Struthio camelus australis, 615 nucleotides. Lineage: Eukaryota; Metazoa; Chordata; Aves; Struthioniformes; Struthionidae. The record is from RefSeq and is a predicted model, not a curated record.
CUUUGCUGACCUCUCCGAUCCACUCACACAACUCAGAGCUUCUGUGGACAUCACCCAGUCUGUCAAACCAAACACGCAAACAAAGUCACUCACCUAGAGAUAACGGAAAAAACGCAAGAGGUCUUCCCCUGCCGGCCUCGCAACGCCUUCUCCAACCCAGACUGCCUGGGACAGAUCUGAGCAGCCUGGUGGCACGGCAGGUUCAGCUGCUCCCACUCCUGCAGCCAGGAUCCUGCGCGCGCGCCGGCCUCGGCAUGGCACUCGGAUCAAUCUGGCUCACAGUCUGCUGUUUCUCAAGGGGGUUACAUGCUUAGGAAAGAAAUACUGCCACCACCACCACCAACAACAAUCAAGAGAUGAUCACGUAAUGCGUUCUCUCCCCCGCUAGAAGAAGUUGACUGAGCUGUGGCUCUGGCAGUGAGACUGAAAUCCAACAGUAAAGCAACCAGUCGCAAUCGAGAAGCACCCACUCUCAGCUGAGAAAGAGCCGAUGGAAAGCUCUGGAGAGCAGACUACCAAGUGACUUUGUACUUUGUCUGGCCUCAUGUCACAGAAAAGACGAUACAAAAACCUCAGUACAAGCACUACUUGUUCUUUCAGUUUAUUCUAAAAUAA